UACAGAGGUCUCAAGCGUUGUUCGGAUUCAUUGGGCGUAAAGGGCUCGUAGGCGGCCAACUAAGUCAGACGUGAAAUCCCUCGGCUUAACCGGGGAACUGCGUCUGAUACUGGAUGGCUUGAGUUCGGGAGAGGGAUGCGGAAUUCCAGGUGUAGCGGUGAAAUGCGUAGAUAUCGGGAGGAACACCUGUGGCGAAAGCGGCGCACUGGACCACAACUGACGCUGAGGCGCGAAAGCUAGGGGAGCAAACAGG
Molecule: ribosomal RNA, 253 nt
Filed under: uncultured bacterium
Lineage: Bacteria
Description: partial 16S ribosomal RNA
Rfam family: Bacterial small subunit ribosomal RNA
Source: RNAcentral